AUUUAGAUAGGCAAAUACAUUUCAUAUUAAAAUUAAUUAGCAAAGCUUCGAAAAAGUCCUAUUUCGAGUUUAAGUUACCUCCGAAUUAAUUAAGAUGUCUAUAAAAAUGACGUCAUGUUUUGUUAGGAUAAUACCCUAUGGCGCGCUUUGUUUAAAUUUUCCAACAGCACGUGGUAAUAGCACAAAACAUAAAGUUUAUAAACAAAUAACAUUUAAUAAAAAUCGAUUUAAUAAAGUAACGAAGGUCGGAUUAUUUAGAACAACGAAGAAAAUGAAAUCAACAACAGAACCACAGUAGAUAAAACACGCAAUGGAUAAAAGUGUAGAAAAGAACGUCAGUUAGAAGCGUGGCUGGUGAAUCCAAAAGGUUUAGAAACCUUCGACAAACUAUGAAGGCUAUGGAUUAAGAUUUAAUUAGUUUACUGUGUACAUUUACGCUGUUCAUACAAUAAGUCAAGCAGAAACAAAUAUUUAUUGAUCAAACAACGUGAAGUGUAAUUACAGAAAACCACUCCUGUAUAAAUUAUAAUAAUAAAGUUAAUUCUAUAGCCUUUAAUAAGAUUACAGAAACUCCUAUUACUGUAAAGUAAAUUAUAGUUACUGCUCAUGUCGCACCACUUGACGAUAACCAAUUCUAUACUAAGGUAAAAGUGCUUUGUUCGUAUUACAGCAUUAUGUACACUUACAAUUAUACAUGGAAUUUCUAAAUUGUCGGACAAACUUUUCAACUCUUUGUAUGUAUCUUUAUCCAUAUUGUAUCCUAAUGACUGAUUUUGUAAGUAUUGUUUGUUUAUUCUUAUAAGUUAGUGUCUUUUUAGUUAUUAUACUGAAAGAAAUAACUAUUUAUCUUAAAGUUAUGUCUAGUUUGUUUGCUCAAAGCAGGGGUUUCUAAAUCAACAAGAGAACCCUAACAACUCUGUAGUGGUACAUAAUCUUUCAUGCCCACUUGGACUUUAAUUUUUUAAUUGUUGUGGUUUCUUGAAUUUAUGGUAAUUGUACUUUCAAAUACUUCUGAACAAAAGAAUUUUGUUAUAACUUUCAUUUUAUGUGUAUUAGUGCAAAAGGAAUGUGUAAAGAUUUUGUGUUUGCACAGUGUUGUGCAAGGGAUAAAAUGAGAUUGUUAAUGCAUAAACUGUUUGUUUAGUGGUUAUAAUGCAAACAAUGAUGAAUAGCUAUGUGUGAAUGGUACAGCAUGGUUGAAAAAUAGGAGUGUUUGUUUCAUUAGUUCUGCUGCAAAUAAUAGACAAAGAUUUUUUUUAAUUUACAGAAAGUUUUAAUUUAGUUAAAUGUCAAGUACUUUGUGUAAUUGUGUGGUGAAGCAAAAAAAGUUAUGAAAUUUAUCCAGAUAUAAUAAAUAGAGCAUGUUCUGUGUAACUGUAACUGUAAAAACUUAUCGUUAAAUAUUGUUAAGUAAUUGAAACUUUUUAUGAUGUUUAAAUUGUAACUUGUCAUUUGUUGCGGAAAGUUAAACAAUGAUUAGUAACAGGCUGUAAGAAUAUAUCAACUUGUUUAGAGGUUGUAAAAUGAAUAAAUUUGUUAUUGGGUUAUGUUUCAUGUGUGGGUUUGUAACUAUUUCAUCUGCUAGAGGAUGGACAGAUGAAGAAGAAACAACAGAAUAUUGGUACAAACUCGGCCAAGAAGAAAUUGAUAUUGCUCUCGAAAGAGAAAACUUAAACAAGAAUGUUGCAAGAAAUAUUAUUUUGUUUCUAGGUGAUGGCAUGAGUGUGGCAACUAUAACUGCUGGUAGAAUCCUGAAGGGACAGUUAGAAGGCAAGAGUGGAGAAGAAUCCACAUUAGCCAUGGAUCAGUUUCACUUUGCUGGUCUUUCAAAGACAUACUCAGUUGAUCAACAAGUGUCUGAUUCAGCUUGCACUGCAACUGCUUAUCUGUGUGGAGUCAAAAGCGAUUACUCUACAAUAGGUUUAAAUGGCAAUGUUGAAUAUGGGGAUUGCAGUUCCGUCAAGGGCAAUGAGGUGGAAUCUACAUUAGUGAAGGCUUACAAAGCAGGCAAAUCAACAGGAAUAGUUACAACCACAAGAAUAGUCCAUGCAUCACCUGCUGGCACUUACGCACAUACACCAAGCAGGGGGUGGUAUGGGGAUAACAACUUACCUGAAAGUGCAAUACAAGAGGGGUGUAAAGAUAUUGCGCAACAAUUCAUGGAUUCAUCUGACAUGAUCACAGUUGCUUUGGGUGGUGGACGAAAAUAUUUCCGACCCCAAGGCGUCCCAGAUGAAGAAUACCCGAAACAAAGUUAUGAGAGGCAAGAUGGGCAGGAUCUUAUAUCAGACUGGCAAAUCAAGUAUGGAAAUACAGCCAAGUUUGUUUGGAACCAGGAACAGUUUGAUCAAGUAGAUCCGGUUACUACAGAUAGGUUACUGGGAAUGUUCGAACCAUGUGACAUGAAUUAUGACGCAAGGAGGUUGGAUGAUUCAGCUGGGGAACCUUCACUUGAAGAAAUGACAGAAAAAGCAAUCCGGAUGCUGCAGAAGAAUCACGAAAGGAUAUUCCCUUUUGGUUGAAGGGGAAAGAAUAGACCAUGGACACCAUGCAUCCAACGCACACCUGGCACUCACAGACUUGGUGGCUUUUGAUAAAGCAAUAAAACGCGCUGUUGACUUGACAGCUGAAAGUGACACACUCAUAGUAGUCACAGCAGAUCACGCGCACACCAUGAGUGUGGGAGCAUACAGUGAAAGAGGAAAUCCAAUAUUCGGACUAGCACCAUCCAACACUAACCCUGCAUUAGCGGAAGAUGGGAAACCAUACACAACAUUGCUGUAUGCUAAUGGACCUGGUUUCCAAGGUCCAGGGACAUUUCUGGGCUCUCAUGUGAGGCAGAAUCUUACCAACGUAAAUACAGAAUCUUUAGCAUACCUCCAACAAAGUUCAACCCCAAUAGAUUCCGAGACUCACGGCGGUGACGACGUUGCUAUCCUUGCUAGAGGACCGAUGUCCCAUCUUUUUCAUGGCGUUCACGAACAAAGUUAUAUUCCCCAUGUAAUGAGGUAUGCUGCAUGUAUUGGUGACGACACAUCACAUUGUAGCGGAACCCGUAAUACAUACGCUGGGGAAGAUACGCCUUCUAAAUAUGUGGCUGCUGAUUUCCUCGGUAUUAAACUAACAGCCACUGAUGCAGUAGUUGCACUUUACGUUCAAUUUGUCCUCGUAAUUUGCCUCGCGUUGGUAAUUCUCGUUCUUAUACCGAUUGUUAAGAAACCAAAACAAAUGCAAUCUGACGCCAUAUACGAGAACAGCCACAUUCAUUCAAAGUCGGUAACGAAUUUAUAAUUUUAUAAUUACUUUUUUAAAACUUCCUAAUUAAUAUUUUUACUUUUAUAAUUAUAAACUUUUGAGAUUUACUGAUUACCUUUAAUCGCUUAUCGAGUGUUUUUUUCUGUUUGUGACGUAAUUGUCUCUUAGUAUUGUGGAUGUGCGGUAAUUUUUAGCGAACAUUAUGACGUAAAUUACUUAAUAUAUUCGCGAAACAUUGCUGAACUUAAAAAAAGAGAAAUUGCGGAGAGAAAAA
This is a non-coding RNA of Ciona intestinalis (vase tunicate), 3529 nucleotides long. NCBI's taxonomy places the organism in Eukaryota, Metazoa, Chordata, Ascidiacea, Phlebobranchia, Cionidae. The record is from RefSeq and is a predicted model, not a curated record.